RNAcentral lists this long non-coding RNA (469 nucleotides) under Homo sapiens (human). Its description in RNAcentral is "non-protein coding lnc-ANKRD36B-3:25". The record is from RNAcentral. Lineage: Eukaryota; Metazoa; Chordata; Mammalia; Primates; Hominidae.
GAGAAGGGAAGGAAGCCCAUGAGAGGACACUGAAGAAGGAGUGAGCAGACAAUAAGAAGCCCACAGAAGACAGAGAAGGAACAACUAGAGGGAGAAGCCAAGGCAGUUUCUCCACAGACACUACCCAAAGCAGUGCUUCACUACAGUGGCAGACAGACCUGAAAAUUUUCAUCUGAAGCAGCAGAGUGAACUGCAGAGGCAGGUCACCAACCAGUGUGGAGGCUAAAAGCGGGCCUCUUUGGGGAUUCCAGGAACAAAGAUCACCACAACUGGCUCCCCUUCAACUAUGUUAGAUGGCAACUUGCCUUCAGUAUGGUGAAACACAUCAGUUAAGACCGGGGUUGUGCAUGGCAGGACUUUCUACAAGGACACCCAGUCUCCUUAAUAAACAUGAGAUGCUCUCUUUCCAGAAUUUCUCUUGCCUGACACAGCAUAGGAAGAUGCUGAACGGCCACACAGUGAUCCAUUG